GGUUAAGCGACUAAGCGUACACGGUGGAUGCCCUGGCAGUCAGAGGCGAUGAAGGGCGUGCUAAUCUGCGAUAAGCGCCGGUAAGGUGAUAUGAACCGUUAUAACCGGCGAUACCCGAAUGGGGAAACCCAGUGUGACUCGUCACACUAUCAUUAACUGAAUCCAUAGGUUAAUGAGGCGAACCGGGGGAACUGAAACAUCUAAGUACCCCGAGGAAAAGAAAUCAACCGAGAUUCCCCCAGUAGCGGCGAGCGAACGGGGAGGAGCCCAGAGCCUGAAUCAGCAUGUGUGUUAGUGGAAGCGUCUGGAAAGGCGCGCGAUACAGGGUGACAGCCCCGUACACAAAAGCGCAUGUGCUGUGAGCUCGAUGAGUAGGGCGGGACACGUGGUAUCCUGUCUGAAUAUGGGGGGACCAUCCUCCAAGGCUAAAUACUCCUGACUGACCGAUAGUGAACCAGUACCGUGAGGGAAAGGCGAAAAGAACCCCGGCGAGGGGAGUGAAAAAGAACCUGAAACCGUGUACGUACAAGCAGUGGGAGCCCCACCACCAAAGCAUUCUCUGGUGUUGAAGGCCCUGCAAAGCAGCAUCGCGGUGGCGGAGCGUCGUUUGCGACGCCCAACACACAAAACAAGCGGUGAAUGCUUUGGGGUGGGGUGACUGCGUACCUUUUGUAUAAUGGGUCAGCGACUUAUAUUCUGUAGCAAGGUUAACCGAAUAGGGGAGCCGGAGGGAAACCGAGUCUUAAUUGGGCGUUAAGUUGCAGGGUAUAGACCCGAAACCCGGUGAUCUAGCCAUGGGCAGGUUGAAGGUUGGGUAACACUAACUGGAGGACCGAACCGACUAAUGUUGAAAAAUUAGCGGAUGACCUGUGGCUGGGGGUGAAAGGCCAAUCAAACCGGGAGAUAGCUGGUUCUCCCCGAAAGCUAUUUAGGUAGCGCCUCGUGAAUUCAUCUCCGGGGGUAGAGCACUGUUUCGGCUAGGGGGCCAUCCCGGCUUACCAACCCGAUGCAAACUGCGAAUACCGGAGAAUGUUAUCACGGGAGACACACGGCGGGUGCUAACGUCCGUCGUGAAGAGGGAAACAACCCAGACCGCCAGCUAAGGUCCCAAAGUCAUGGUUAAGUGGGAAACGAUGUGGGAAGGCCCAGACAGCCAGGAUGUUGGCUUAGAAGCAGCCAUCAUUUAAAGAAAGCGUAAUAGCUCACUGGUCGAGUCGGCCUGCGCGGAAGAUGUAACGGGGCUAAACCAUGCACCGAAGCUGCGGCAGCGACGCUGAUGCGUUGUUGGGUAGGGGAGCGUUCUGUAAGCCUGCGAAGGUGACCUGUGAGGGUUGCUGGAGGUAUCAGAAGUGCGAAUGCUGACAUAAGUAACGAUAAAGCGGGUGAAAAGCCCGCUCGCCGGAAGACCAAGGGUUCCUGUCCAACGUUAAUCGGGGCAGGGUGAGUCGACCCCUAAGGCGAGGCCGAAAGGCGUAGUCGAUGGGAAACGGGUUAAUAUUCCCGUACUUGGUGUUACUGCGAAGGGGGGACGGAGAAGGCUAUGUUGGCCGGGCGACGGUUGUCCCGGUUUAAGCGUGUAGGUGUGUGUUCCAGGUAAAUCCGGUUCACUUUAACACUGAGGCGUGAUGACGAGGCACUACGGUGCUGAAGCAACAAAUGCCCUGCUUCCAGGAAAAGCCUCUAAGCAUCAGGUAACAUCAAAUCGUACCCCAAACCGACACAGGUGGUCAGGUAGAGAAUACCAAGGCGCUUGAGAGAACUCGGGUGAAGGAACUAGGCAAAAUGGUGCCGUAACUUCGGGAGAAGGCACGCUGACACGUAGGUGAAGUGAUUUACUCACGGAGCUGAAGUCAGUCGAAGAUACCAGCUGGCUGCAACUGUUUAUUAAAAACACAGCACUGUGCAAACACGAAAGUGGACGUAUACGGUGUGACGCCUGCCCGGUGCCGGAAGGUUAAUUGAUGGGGUCAGCGCAAGCGAAGCUCCUGAUCGAAGCCCCGGUAAACGGCGGCCGUAACUAUAACGGUCCUAAGGUAGCGAAAUUCCUUGUCGGGUAAGUUCCGACCUGCACGAAUGGCGUAAUGAUGGCCAGGCUGUCUCCACCCGAGACUCAGUGAAAUUGAACUCGCUGUGAAGAUGCAGUGUACCCGCGGCAAGACGGAAAGACCCCGUGAACCUUUACUAUAGCUUGACACUGAACAUUGAGCCUUGAUGUGUAGGAUAGGUGGGAGGCUUUGAAGUGUGGACGCCAGUCUGCAUGGAGCCGACCUUGAAAUACCACCCUUUAAUGUUUGAUGUUCUAACGUGGACCCGUAAUCCGGGUUGCGGACAGUGUCUGGUGGGUAGUUUGACUGGGGCGGUCUCCUCCUAAAGAGUAACGGAGGAGCACGAAGGUUGGCUAAUCCUGGUCGGACAUCAGGAGGUUAGUGCAAUGGCAUAAGCCAGCUUGACUGCGAGCGUGACGGCGCGAGCAGGUGCGAAAGCAGGUCAUAGUGAUCCGGUGGUUCUGAAUGGAAGGGCCAUCGCUCAACGGAUAAAAGGUACUCCGGGGAUAACAGGCUGAUACCGCCCAAGAGUUCAUAUCGACGGCGGUGUUUGGCACCUCGAUGUCGGCUCAUCACAUCCUGGGGCUGAAGUAGGUCCCAAGGGUAUGGCUGUUCGCCAUUUAAAGUGGUACGCGAGCUGGGUUUAGAACGUCGUGAGACAGUUCGGUCCCUAUCUGCCGUGGGCGCUGGAGAACUGAGGGGGGCUGCUCCUAGUACGAGAGGACCGGAGUGGACGCAUCACUGGUGUUCGGGUUGUCAUGCCAAUGGCACUGCCCGGUAGCUAAAUGCGGAAGAGAUAAGUGCUGAAAGCAUCUAAGCACGAAACUUGCCCCGAGAUGAGUUCUCCCUGAGACUUUAGGUCUCCUGAAGGAACGUUGAAGACGACGACGUUGAUAGGCCGGGUGUGUAAGCGCAGCGAUGCGUUGAGCUAACCGGUACUAAUGAACCGUGAGGCUUAACCUU
Molecule: ribosomal RNA, 3008 nt
Filed under: Salmonella enterica
Lineage: Bacteria; Pseudomonadati; Pseudomonadota; Gammaproteobacteria; Enterobacterales; Enterobacteriaceae
Also listed under: 5 other names
Description: 23S ribosomal RNA
Rfam family: Bacterial large subunit ribosomal RNA
Source: RNAcentral